This 72-nucleotide transfer RNA is filed under the name Thesium chinense. RNAcentral describes it as "tRNA-Gln". It matches the Rfam family "tRNA". Rfam says of the family: Transfer RNA (tRNA) molecules are approximately 80 nucleotides in length. RNAcentral also lists the same sequence under 3 other names. The record is from RNAcentral. Lineage: Eukaryota; Viridiplantae; Streptophyta; Magnoliopsida; Santalales; Thesiaceae.
UGGGGCGUCGCCAAGUGGUAAGGCACUGGGUUUUGAUCCCAGCAUUCGGAGGUUCGAAUCCUUCCGUUCCAG